GCCUGGAUGGCUCAGUUGGUUAAGCGUCUGACUUCAGCUCAGGUCACGAUCUCACGGUUUGUGGGUUCAAACCCCGUGUCAGGCU
Transfer RNA from Felis catus (domestic cat), 85 nucleotides. It matches the Rfam family "tRNA". From Rfam's summary of the family: Transfer RNA (tRNA) molecules are approximately 80 nucleotides in length. Lineage: Eukaryota; Metazoa; Chordata; Mammalia; Carnivora; Felidae. The record is from Rfam.